AGAGUUUGAUCAUGGCUCAGGACGAACGUGGCGGCGUGCCUUACACAUGCAAGUCGCACGAGAAAGGGAACUUCUCCGCUUUGAUCCCAGCUUGCUGGGAGAUUCGCAGAGAACCCAAGUACAGUGGCGAACGGGAGCGUAACACGUGAGAAACCUGCCUCGGAGUGGGGAACAAGCACGAGAAAUCGUGGCUAAUUCCGCAUGACGCAGCGGCCCCGCAUGGGGACAGUUGUUAAAGACGGCCUCUUCUUGAAAGCGGUCGCUUCGAGAUGGUCUCGCGGCCUAUCAGCUAGUUGGUGGGGUAAUGGCUCACCAAGGCUACGACGGGUAGCCGGCCUGAGAGGGUGUCCGGCCUCAUUGGGACUGAGACACGGCCCAGACUCCUACGGGAGGCAGCAGUGAGGAAUCUUGCGCAAUGGGCGGAAGCCUGACGCAGCGACGCCGCGUGAGGGAUGAAGGCCUUCGGGUUGUAAACCUCUGUCAGGAGGGAAGAAACCGGGGUCGGUGAAUAGCCGGUCCCAUUGACGGUACCUCCAGAGGAAGCACCGGCUAACUCCGUGCCAGCAGCCGCGGUAAGGCGGAGGGUGCAAACGUUGUUCGGAAUCACUGGGCGUAAAGAGCACGUAGGCGGGCCCGUAAGUCAGGAGUGAAAUCUCGGGGCUCAACCCCGAGCCUGCUUCUGAAACUGCGGGCCUUGAGGACCGGAGAGGAAAGUGGAAUUCCUAGUGUAGCGGUGGAAUGCGUAGAUAUUAGGAAGAACACCAGCGGCGAAGGCGACUUUCUGGACGGUUCCUGACGCUGAGGUGCGAAAGCUAGGGGAGCAAACAGGAUUAGAUACCCUGGUAGUCCUAGCCGUAAACGAUGAGUGCUGGGUGGUGGUGGUUUCAACGCCUUCACUGCCGAAGCUAACGCAUUAAGCACUCCGCCUGGGGAGUACGGCCGCAAGGUUGAAACUCAAAUGAAUUGACGG
This 970-nucleotide ribosomal RNA is filed under the name uncultured bacterium. Its description in RNAcentral is "bacterial SSU rRNA". It matches the Rfam family "Bacterial small subunit ribosomal RNA", at positions 8 to 916 of the family's 1533-position model. The record is from RNAcentral.